UCCUUCAGACACCUGACCGCAGGUGUCGUACCAGAGUGUGUCAUGUCAACAUGUUUAAAAGGUAUUGCUCCCGAGAAGACCAAAUAAGAUCUUCCCCAUCUCAUCAGGUAGAGACUUCUGUCUCUCCUAUCGCUUCUAUUUCCAAGGUGUUGAUUACCUAUUGGCUGGCCUAUCAGGAGGAAGGGCCCUCAAUAAAGGAGGACCAGGAAGAGCUGGCCGGCUCUCUCUUCAUCCUGCGUCGGGGUCUACUGCUGACGUCCUUGACCAAGCAAAUUAUAUACAAUUCUAUGUUUGUGGUAACAUGUGUGUGGUGUGAGGUUGUGGAUUUAGCUACACCUUGGGGACGUAACAGGUUUAUUCAUCUCAACCCUAGUCAUGCUGCAGUUUGGAGGAGCAUCUCCGCAACCA
Long non-coding RNA from Cottoperca gobio, 408 nucleotides. RefSeq lists it as uncharacterized. The record is from RefSeq and is a predicted model, not a curated record. The transcript is spliced from 3 exons. Lineage: Eukaryota; Metazoa; Chordata; Actinopteri; Perciformes; Bovichtidae.